AUUCGCGGCCUAUCAGCUUGUUGGUGGGGUAAUGGCCUACCAAGGCGACGACGGGUAGCCGGCCUGAGAGGGUGUACGGCCACAUUGGGACUGAGACACGGCCCAAACUCCUACGGGAGGCAGCAGUGGGGAGUCUUGCACAAUGGGCGAAAGCCUGAUGCAGCGACGCCGCGUGGGGGAUGACGGCCUUCGGGUUGUAAACCCCUUUCGCCAGGGAAGAAGCCACUUUGUGGUGACGGUACCUGGAUAAGGAGCACCGGCUAACUACGUGCCAGCAGCCGCGGUAAUACGUAGGGUGCAAGCGUUGUCCGGAAUUACUGGGCGUAAAGAGCUCGUAGGUGGUUUGUCGCGUCGUCUGUGAAAUCCCGGGGCUUAACUCCGGGUCUGCAGGCGAUACGGGCAUAACUAGAGUGCUGUAGGGGAGACUGGAAUUCCUGGUGUAGCGGUGAAAUGCGCAGAUAUCAGGAGGAACACCGAUGGCGAAGGCAGGUCUCUGGGCAGUAACUGACGCUGAAGAGCGAAAGCAUGGGGAGCAAACAGGAUUAGAUACCCUGGUAGUCCAUGCCGUAAACGGUGGGCGCUAGGUGUGGGGACCAUUCCACGGUUUCCGUGUCGCAGCUAACGCAUUAAGCGCCCCGCC
This 640-nucleotide ribosomal RNA is filed under the name uncultured Actinomycetes bacterium. RNAcentral describes it as "bacterial SSU rRNA". It matches the Rfam family "Bacterial small subunit ribosomal RNA", at positions 229 to 873 of the family's 1533-position model. The record is from RNAcentral. Lineage: Bacteria; Bacillati; Actinomycetota; Actinomycetes.